Molecule: long non-coding RNA, 559 nt
Organism: Mauremys reevesii (Reeves's turtle)
Lineage: Eukaryota; Metazoa; Chordata; Testudines; Geoemydidae
Exons: 3
Source: RefSeq, a predicted model, not a curated record
GAGGACAACAGCAGACCUGAGUGAACUCCAGUAAAGCCCUUCCUACCCAGCCACUAAAUACAGCUGAAAUCACUAUAGCUGGAUUAGGUGGUAGAGCCUCAAGACAAGAGCAGGCUAGACUGUGAGCGCUUUGAGGCAGGGGCCAUGUCUUCUUAUCUGCAAUGUGAGGUGGUUGCUUUGAAUCAUGAUGAAGCCUGGAAGAGACUGUGAUCCAAAUUCCAGAGCCCUUCAAGGAGACAACCUAUAAGGCAGGGAACAGAUUUGCCAAUAUUUCUGCUGAUAGUCAUCCUUUUGGGGCUCUGACACUCCUUCACUACAGUGAAGCACCAGACCAAGGGGCACUGCCAGCAAGAAAUCAGCCAAUCACAAGAGAGAGUUAAGUGUUUUCAGACCCUUCACCUGCCCGUGAAUGCUUGUGCCAAUUUUACAACCACAUUCUCCUAUUUAAAGAAGAUAUUUCUCUCUCUCUCUCCUUUUGCUGUCUGAAAGAUCCACACAACCAGGGGGAACAAACAGCCAGUGGGAGGAAGUGGUGGGGAGAGCUCUGGAAAUGAGUGGC